RNAcentral lists this ribosomal RNA (404 nucleotides) under uncultured bacterium. RNAcentral describes it as "bacterial SSU rRNA". It matches the Rfam family "Bacterial small subunit ribosomal RNA", at positions 355 to 774 of the family's 1533-position model. The record is from RNAcentral.
UAGGGAAUAUUGCAAAAUGGGCGAAAGCCCGAUGCAGCAACGCCGCGUGGGCGAUGAAGGCCUUCGGGUCGUAAAGCCCUUUUUGAGGGGAUGAGGAAGGACAGUACCCUCAGGAAUAAGUCUCGGCUAACUACGUGCCAGCAGCCGCGGUAAAACGUAGGAGGCGAGCGUUAUCCGGAUUUACUGGGCGUAAAGCGCACGCAGGCGGCUCUGUUAGUCGGACGUGAAAGCUCUCGGCUUAACCGGGAGAGGCCGUUCGAUACUGCGGGGCUUGAGGUAGGGAGAGGAAUGCGGAAUUCCCGGUGUAGUGGUGGAAUGCGUAGAUGUCGGGAGGAACACCUGUGGCGAAAGCGGCAUUCUGGCCCUCACCUGACGCUGAGGUGCGAAAGCGUGGGUAGCAAACA